Taeniopygia guttata (zebra finch) is the source of this 3334-nucleotide non-coding RNA. The record is from RefSeq and is a predicted model, not a curated record. Lineage: Eukaryota; Metazoa; Chordata; Aves; Passeriformes; Estrildidae.
AGAUGUGAUAAAUCACAGAAUAUCCUGAACUGGAAGGGACCUGCAAGGACCACUGAAGUCUAACUUCUGGCACUGCCUAGGCCAGCCCAAGGAACCACACCAUGAGCUGAGUUCACUGUCCAAAUGUUCCUUGAACUCAGACAGACUUGCUGUGACCACUUCCCUGGGGAGCCUGCUUCAGUGCCCAACCACUCUGUGGCUGAAGAACCUUUUCCUAAUACCAGCCUAAGCACCCACUGACACAACUUUGGGCCAUUUCCUUGGAUCACUGAAGAGAAGAGGUCAGUGCCUGCCCCUACUCUUCCCCCCAUGAGGAAGUACAGCUGCGGUGGUGUCUCUCCUCAGUCUCCUCUUGACUGAGCAGAACAACUGACCUUAUCACUCCUCUUAUGACUUCCUCUUUAGGUCCUUCACCACCUUCACCAUCUUCCCAAUCAACACCUUUGGAUACUUUCUAUUAGGUUUACAUCUCCAUUCCAGUGCCCAGAACUGCACACAGGACUCAGACGAGGCCGCAGAGCAGAGGGGGACAAUCCCCUCGCUUGCCUGGCUGGUGGUGCUGUGUCUGGUGUCACCCAGGACACGCUUGGCCCUCCUUGCUCCAGGACACUGCAAACUCAUGCCCAACUUGCCAUUGACCAGAACCCCCAGGUCCCUUUUCACAGCACUGCUCUCCAACCUCUCAUUCCCCAGUCUGUCCGUACAUCCAGGGUUGUCCCAUUCCAGGUGCAGAAUCUGUCACUUGUCUUUGCUAAGCUUAUUACAGCUGGUGAUUUCCCACACCUCUGAUUUGUCCAGGUCUCUCUACCUUCUAAAGAGUCAACAGCUUUUCCAAAUUUUCUGUGAUCUGUAAACUUAGAAACACUUCAAGUCUUUCAUCCAGGUCAUUAAAAGAAGGUGUUGAAGCCCUGAGAUGGAGCUCUGCAUAACCCCACUAGUGACAAGUGCUAGCCUGAUGUAACUCCAUUUAUUUUAACACUUUGUGCCAGUUGUACACCCAUUACAUUAUGUACUUAUCCAAGAAAUGCCUGUUUUCUCAAGUAUGUGAAUCCAAUAGAGGUAACAAAUCAAAAAAAUCUAAGAAGCCUCUCAAUCUGACUGCAGUGCCCCUUACACUUCUUAAGUGAUCUGUUUCCAGUUAUUACACUUAAAUCUCUCAUUUAGUUAGAAAUCAGUAUUCUUCAUUUUAAUGCAAACAUGUAUGCAGAGAUGUUAAUCUUCAGUAUUCUUUCUUCUCUGAAAUUACUGAAGUACAUUUGGCAUGACAGCCUUAUAAUGUCUGUGUGUUGGUGGUACCAACAAUAAAACAUUUAUGAAUAUGGGUACUUCUGUUCUCUGCAGCUCCAGGAUAUACUUGUUAGGAAAUAAUUGCAGACCUUGCACAGGUUUUAUUGUGCUCUUAUUUAUUCUCACACAAACUAUUGGUAUUGAAACAUUUGCUGUUCUUUUUUUUCUGUACAAUUAUUGUCUGAAAAUACUUACAAGUUUUAUCUGUCUUAUCUGUGAUAAUCCCAGGAGGAAUGCAGAAACUGAGAGCAACUGCCACCCCACUGGUCUUCAACAUCCUCAUGAGGGGAGGUGGAGGGGCAAGUAUGACCUCUGCUUUCAUGACCACUGACACAGCUCAAGGAAAUGGCAUGAGGCUGAGUCAUGGUAUAGGCUGGAUAUCAGAAAAAAGUGUUUCCUCCAGAGGAUGGCUAAGCACUAGAACUGGCUCCUCAGGGAAGUGGCCACAGCACCAACCCUGACAGAGUUCAAGAAGAGUUUGGACUGUCGGAGUCCAGAACAUUCCUCUGGCUGCCCUGGAUGUCUCGAGACCCUGGCAGGGGGCUUGGACACCUUGGCAAGAAGUCAAAAACACUUGUGGCUUCAAUUUUAACCUGUGGGAGAGGCUGCCGACUCUAUAUGAGGAAUUAUAGCCAAAAGGGUUUGAGUAGUGUAGUAGGUGAAUUGAAACAGGGUGGGCAAAUAGAAUUUUGGGGAUUUUAGAAUAUAAUUCAGGGGUACAAGAUGGAGGAAUCUGGGCAUGUCUUAGCCUUUUUCUCCUUCUUCUUGUCCUCCAUGUCUUGGUAUGUUAGUGACACUUUUCUAUUGGUUUAGGAUAGGGACACACUGUCCAACAUAGAUCUUACGUAUUGGUACGGGAACUGUAAACAUGGCACAUGUAGUUUUGAGUAUAUAAUGUGGGAGACACCUGGGACUUGGCAGAGACUGCUAUGGCUUCUGUACUAGCUGGGCCUUGGCAGGUCAGAGAGAAACUAUCAUAGAUAAGAAAAAAUAAACAACCUUGAAAACCCAACUCCAUACAUUCCAAACCUCUUCUUCGGCUGCCAGGCUAGGGGGAAAAGGACUUUCACACUGCUGGGGUCUUGCCAGCUGGCCCCGACAUUGGACAAUCUCUCAGGCCCAUGGUGUGACUCGAAGUGUCCUUCACAGGCACAGAAUUUGCACUCAAUGAUCCUGAUGGGUCCCUUCCAACUCAUAUUCUAUGAUUCUGUGAUUCUACAUGCCAUGCUCAGUGUUUCAUCACUCUUUCUGGCCCUUGGCUCCACCAUUCUUGGAUCCAUAUUGACUCAGAUACAAAAUGAGAUGCAAAAUAUCCUUGUUCAGUUCUGUGGACUAUCUGAAAUAUCCUGUCGACAAGCAGCUAAAUUCUUUUCUCAAAAGAAACAACUUUGUGAUUCUUCAUCUGUUGCCUUUUGAUUUCCAGACAUCUCACUUAGGACUUUAGGUCUUGGCUAUAAAUCCAUGAUCUGUUUUGCCUCCAUAAAAAUAUGUAUUCUAAUGAUGGGAAGAUUUGCUGUCCCACAUGAAUUCAUAUCAGAAGCCUUUCUCCAGGGAAGAUGGGAUGCUGAGUGAUCUUCAAGCUGAAACAGAUGAACUGCAAAUGCUGAGGAAGGCAUGCCAACCUUUUAAGACUGCAGCAAGACUUGGAAGGAACAGAAUGAGACUUACUCAAAAAAAGCAAUCUGAGACUUUGGACAUUUAGAGUCUUCCUUUAGGGAGAAGCCAUCAUAGACUUACAAAAUGUGAGUGUGUAUGAGUAAGAUACAAACCCUGAUAUAGUCAAAUUAAGUUGCUUAUACUUAUAAAUUCCUGAAUCAUCUUUACUACUCAAAUUCAGACUCUUUUUCAGCUCAAAGCUCAAAACUUCUACAGUAGUUCUGAUACUUGAAACGGUCUUGAAUGUAAAAUAAUUACUUGGUGCAAACAAUUUUGCUGUGUGUUUUCUCUGACUUGAGAAUGGAUGAGGAAGUGUACUGAUGCUACUGCUUCAUAUACCUUGUUGCACUAAACAUAUUGUAUGGUUUCAGAAAUAAACACAAUUGUAUUA